AUCCACUUGGAUCAUAAGGGACAAAUUAAGAGACUCCUUCCCUAAAGGCUUCAGAAGUACUCAGUGGCCUGCUGGCAGAGGGACAUGGCAGCCAUAUCAUUCAUCUUCUCGUAUGAGCUGUCAGAUUCUGGCUUCUGUUCCCAUACCUGCUGAUCAGAACUAUGUCCCCCUACCACAAUGGACUCAUCCUUCUGGAGCCAUAAGCCAAGCUACAUUUUCUUUCAUAUGUGUUUUUGCACAGCAAUAAAAUGAUCUCCAGUUCCUAUUACACUGUGUCGUAUUUUGCUUCGUGGUGUCACCCGUCUUUACAUCAGGAGUCUGCAUACUAUGGACAGUUGUCCAUAUCUGCCUCUCCUACACUUAGCUUCUGUAGAAAGGUCUCUUGGCACGCAGCCAUGCCCAUUCAGUGACAUACAGCCACACCCACUCACUUGCACCAGCCAUGCCUACUCGGUGACACGAAGACACACCCACUAAAUGGCAUGCAGCUACACUCAUACAGCAGCACUCUGUCUAUAGCUGUUUUCUUGCAACCACAGCUCAACUGAAUAGUUUAACAAGAGACUAUAUAGCCAGGAAAGCUUACAAAGUAGUUACUACUUGGCACUUCACACACACACACACACACA
Mus musculus (house mouse) is the source of this 629-nucleotide long non-coding RNA. RefSeq annotates it as predicted gene 29506. NCBI's taxonomy places the organism in Eukaryota, Metazoa, Chordata, Mammalia, Rodentia, Muridae. The record is from RefSeq and is a predicted model, not a curated record. The transcript has 4 exons.